Molecule: ribosomal RNA, 497 nt
Filed under: uncultured bacterium
Lineage: Bacteria
Description: partial 16S ribosomal RNA
Rfam family: Bacterial small subunit ribosomal RNA
Source: RNAcentral
GAUGAACGCUGGCGGCGUGCCUAAUACAUGCAAGUCGAGCGAACAGACGAGGAGCUUGCUCCUCUGACGUUAGCGGCGGACGGGUGAGUAACACGUGGAUAACCUACCUAUAAGACUGGGAUAACUUCGGGAAACCGGAGCUAAUACCGGAUAAUAUAUUGAACCGCAUGGUUCAAUAGUGAAACACGGUUUUGCUGUCACUUAUAGAUGGAUCCGCGCCGCAUUAGCUAGUUGGUAAGGUAACGGCUUACCAAGGCAACGAUGCGUAGCCGACCUGAGAGGGUGAUCGGCCACACUGGAACUGAGACACGGUCCAGACUCCUACGGGAGGCAGCAGUAGGGAAUCUUCCGCAAUGGGCGAAGGCCUGACGGAGCAACGCCGCGUGAGUGAUGAAGGUCUUCGGAUCGUAAAACUCUGUUAUUAGGGAAGAACAAAUGUGUAAGUAACUAUGCACGUCUUGACGGUACCUAAUCAGAAAGCCACGGCUAACUACGUG